This 448-nucleotide ribosomal RNA is filed under the name uncultured organism. Its description in RNAcentral is "partial 16S ribosomal RNA". It matches the Rfam family "Bacterial small subunit ribosomal RNA", at positions 335 to 799 of the family's 1533-position model. The record is from RNAcentral.
ACUCCUACGGGAGGCAGCAGUGGGGAAUAUUGGACAAUGGGCGCAAGCCUGAUCCAGCCAUGCCGCGUGAGUGAUGAAGGCCCUAGGGUUGUAAAGCUCUUUCACCGGUGAAGAUAAUGACGGUAACCGGAGAAGAAGCCCCGGCUAACUUCGUGCCAGCAGCCGCGGUAAUACGAAGGGGGCUCGCGUUGUUCGGAUUUACUGGGCGUAAAGCGCACGUAGGCGGACUAUUAAGUCAGGGGUGAAAUCCCGGGGCUCAACCCCGGAACUGCCUUUGAUACUGGUAGUCUUGAGUUCGAGAGAGGUGAGUGGAAUUCCGAGUGUAGAGGUGAAAUUCGUAGAUAUUCGGAGGAACACCAGUGGCGAAGGCGGCUCACUGGCUCGAUACUGACGCUGAGGUGCGAAAGCGUGGGGAGCAAACAGGAUUAGAUACCCGUGUAGUCCCAUG